GCUUGAGGAUGAUGUUGUAAACCGCACAUGUGUCUGAUCUCUAGGAGUCAUCCACAUGAGCCCACGAAUCUCGAUCAAAAGUCUUGCUUCAGGAAAUCAGCAUAGUAUGCUAGUAUUGCACUGAUCCUUCUUCGAUGGUUGAUCAGGUGCCUCCUUCUUCUUGAUUUGGGCUCUUCCAAAGAUGAGAAGUAAGAGGAGGAGUUUUAAAUCUGAGACGCUCUCAGAA
RNAcentral lists this long non-coding RNA (226 nucleotides) under Elaeis guineensis (African oil palm). Its description in RNAcentral is "long non-coding RNA (EGUI_LNC056273)". Lineage: Eukaryota; Viridiplantae; Streptophyta; Magnoliopsida; Arecales; Arecaceae. The record is from RNAcentral.